RNAcentral lists this transfer RNA (81 nucleotides) under Schizophyllum amplum. RNAcentral describes it as "Auriculariopsis ampla tRNA-Glu". It matches the Rfam family "tRNA". Rfam says of the family: Transfer RNA (tRNA) molecules are approximately 80 nucleotides in length. Their secondary structure includes four short double-helical elements and three loops (D, anti-codon, and T loops). The record is from RNAcentral. Lineage: Eukaryota; Fungi; Basidiomycota; Agaricomycetes; Agaricales; Schizophyllaceae.
UCGGAUAUGGUGUAACGGCCAACAUUGCCGCCUCUCAUUCGCAGUGCGCGGCAGCUCGGGGUUCGAUUCCCCGUAUCCGAA